This 22-nucleotide small nuclear RNA is filed under the name Arabidopsis thaliana (thale cress). RNAcentral's name for it is "snRNA_02514". The record is from RNAcentral. Lineage: Eukaryota; Viridiplantae; Streptophyta; Magnoliopsida; Brassicales; Brassicaceae.
AUCCCUUCUGUGCAAAUGCAUA